AGGCUCACUUCGGCAGCACAUAUACUGAAAUUGGAACGAUACAGAGAAUAUUAGUGUGGCCCUUGGGCAAGGAUGACCUGCAAAUUCGUGAAGCGUUCCAUAUUUUU
This 107-nucleotide small nuclear RNA is filed under the name Panthera tigris altaica (Amur tiger). Lineage: Eukaryota; Metazoa; Chordata; Mammalia; Carnivora; Felidae. The record is from RNAcentral.